UACGGCCAUAUCUCAUUAAAACACAGGUCCCUGUGCGAUCACCUAAGUAAAGCAACGUCGAGCUUGUUAAGUACUUAGAUGGGUGACCACUUAAGAAUAUCAGGUGUU
Acanthosepion pharaonis is the source of this 108-nucleotide non-coding RNA. The record is from the annotation of a GenBank genome assembly. NCBI's taxonomy places the organism in Eukaryota, Metazoa, Mollusca, Cephalopoda, Sepiida, Sepiidae.